AUGCAUGAUGCAGCGCUUUAUAAUGGACAUAGACUAGUCAGCGGUAGGGCAGCAACAAUAGCUCGCAUAUCUUCACACAAACUCAUGGCGCAUUGCCCUCCUCUCCGCUCGCCGGCGCCGGCGACACUACCACCGCCACCGUCAUCCACCAUGAACGCUCUCCAGCUCCCCUUUCAACCACUCAAACCACCGUCAACCUUAAACACCACCACCUUAAAGGGCCUUUUUGCCACAGCUCUGAACCUCCUUGAGGACCGCGUGAUCGUCCCGCUCGAGGCGAGGAGGCAACUACCCAGCUGCGUCGACCCGGCUGUGCAGCUCGCCGGCAACUUCGCGCCCGUGCAGGAGAUGCCGUCCCCGCUGCGGAACCUGGGCGUCACCGGCGAGAUCCCGCCGGCUCUGCUCGGCGGCGUGUACGUACGUAACGGCGCGAACCCACUACUCCCGCCGACGGCAGGGCACCACCUCUUCGACGGCGACGGGAUGCUCCACGCGGUGUCACUGCCGUCAUCUUCGUCUUUGGCGCCGUCGGGGGCAUCUUACACGUGUCGGUUCACACGCACCAGCCGGCUCGCUCAGGAGGAGGCGCUGGGGCGAUGCGCGUUCCCAAAGGCCAUUGGCGAGCUCCAUGGAGGUGCGGGUAUCGCUCGGCUCGCUCUUUUCGGCCUCCGCGCGGUCACCGGCAUCGUCGACUCCAGCAAAGGCGCCGGCUCCGCAAACGCCGGGCUUGUCUACUUUGGCGGCCGCCUGCUCGCGCUCUCAGAAGACAACCUGCCGUACCAGGUGCAUGUCGGUGACGGUGGCGACCUACACACCGUCGGCCGGUUCGACUUCGCUGGGCAGCUGUGCUCACCAAUGAUCGCCCACCCGAAGGUCGACCAGGCCACGGGCGAGCUCUUCGCGCUGAGCUACGACCCCGUGAGGAGGCCGUACCUGCGGUACUUCCGCGUGGACCCGGCCACCGGCGAGAAGUCCCGCGACGUGGACGUGGCACUCCGGCAGCCGACGAUGGUGCACGACUUCGCCAUCACCGAGAGCUUCGCCGUGAUCCCAGACCAGCAGGUGGUGUAUGACUCGAACGACUCUAGGAUGCGAUGGUUCGACGUGCCGGAUUGCUUCUGCUUCCACGUCUGGAAUGCAUGGGAGGAGACCGACCAUGCGGGCGACGGCCCGGCCACCGUAGUCAUUAUCUGCUCCUGCAUGACGCCGCCGGACGCGCUCUUUUGUGAAGCCGCCGCCGAUGCCCCGACGAACUUGCGCGCCACCCUGACAGAGAUCCGGCUGGACCUCCGUACGGGGAUGUCUCGACGGCGUGAGCUCGCCUCGGGGCUGAGCUUGGAGGCCGGCACUGUGAACCGGACCCUGCUGGGGCGGCGGACCCGGUACGCGUACCUCGCCAUCGCGGAGCCGUGGCCGCGGUGCCAGGGCGUGGCCAAGGUGGACCUGGCGACCGGUGAGGCUGUCGCGGUGCAUCAGUAUGGCACCGGACGGUUCGGCGGCGAGGCGUCGUUCGUGCCGGCGGCCGGCGGUGAUAAGAGGGAGGACGAGGGGCACGUGGUGGUGAUGGUGCACGAUGAGGCGGCGAGCACGUCGGAGCUAGCCGCAGUGGCAACGGUGGCGCUGACGUGCCGCGUGCCCUACGGCUUCCAUGGCGCGUUCCUCACUAGAGAUCAGCUCGCCGCUCAGAGGACUUGUAUCUCCUAG
Molecule: ribosomal RNA, 1704 nt
Filed under: Triticum aestivum (bread wheat)
Lineage: Eukaryota; Viridiplantae; Streptophyta; Magnoliopsida; Poales; Poaceae
Description: partial small subunit ribosomal RNA
Source: RNAcentral